RNAcentral lists this ribosomal RNA (328 nucleotides) under Alcaligenes sp. AM416S. RNAcentral describes it as "partial 16S ribosomal RNA". It matches the Rfam family "Bacterial small subunit ribosomal RNA", at positions 1160 to 1488 of the family's 1533-position model. Lineage: Bacteria; Pseudomonadati; Pseudomonadota; Betaproteobacteria; Burkholderiales; Alcaligenaceae. The record is from RNAcentral.
UAACUGGAGGAAGGUGGGGAUGACGUCAAGUCCUCAUGGCCCUUAUGNGUAGGGCUUCACACGUCAUACAAUGGUCGGGACAGAGGGUNGNCAACCCGCGAGGGNGAGCCAAUNUCAGAAACCCGAUCGUAGUCCGGAUCGCAGUCUGCAACUCGACUGCGUGAAGUCGGAAUCGCUAGUAAUCGCGGAUCAGAAUGUCGCGGUGAAUACGUUCCCGGGUCNUGUACACACCGCCCGUCACACCCNGGGAGUGGGUUUCACCNGAAGUAGGUAGCCUAACCGUAAGGAGGGCGCUUACCACGGUGGGAUUCAUGACUGGNGGAAGUCG